AAUAAGAGAUAUCGGGUGCAGGGCCUUCUCCUCCUCCGGCUGUUCUCCUUCACAGCUGUCGGCCACUGUACCGCACAGGCGGUAUCUCGCUUCGUGUGCAAAAAAGUCCGUC
Clostridiales bacterium 42_27 is the source of this 112-nucleotide non-coding RNA. The record is from Rfam. NCBI's taxonomy places the organism in Bacteria, Bacillati, Bacillota, Clostridia, Eubacteriales.